RNAcentral lists this small RNA (372 nucleotides) under Arabidopsis thaliana (thale cress). RNAcentral describes it as "ATSL026770". The record is from RNAcentral. Lineage: Eukaryota; Viridiplantae; Streptophyta; Magnoliopsida; Brassicales; Brassicaceae.
AUAAGACAUGCACCUAAAAUUUUGGCUGAGAUUAAUAACACUUAGUUCAUAGAUACGAGUUUAAUUCAAAAUUCAUCCAGACACUGAAUCAAAAUUGCCUCCGUUCAACUGUUCAUUUCUUAAGAAUUCAGAAUGUUUAGGAAAGCAGAGAGCUUCUGUCAUACCUUCCUACAGAAAUCACAACAAUUGCAUAGACAGAGAAAACAACUGUUGGGUUUGAUCCCUAUUUCAUCACCAGACAGUCUAAAGACAGUAUUUCAAACUCUGUCCGGUAAAUGGGAGAUGUAGUUGAAGAUCUUGAGUGUCUUCAAGUGUUGAAAGGUGCAAUGACUAACAAAGUUUUUAUGGUUACUUGGCCUAUAAAGGAUAACA